This 492-nucleotide ribosomal RNA is filed under the name uncultured bacterium. Its description in RNAcentral is "partial 16S ribosomal RNA". It matches the Rfam family "Bacterial small subunit ribosomal RNA", at positions 29 to 507 of the family's 1533-position model. The record is from RNAcentral.
AGUGAACGCUGGCGGUAGGCCUAACACAUGCAAGUCGAACGGCAGCACAGUAAGAGCUUGCUCUUACGGGUGGCGAGUGGCGGACGGGUGAGGAAUACAUCGGAAUCUACUUUUUCGUGGGGGAUAACGUAGGGAAACUUACGCUAAUACCGCAUACGACCUACGGGUGAAAGCAGGGGAUCUUCGGACCUUGCGCGAUUGAAUGAGCCGAUGUCGGAUUAGCUAGUUGGCGGGGUAAAGGCCCACCAAGGCGACGAUCCGUAGCUGGUCUGAGAGGAUGAUCACCCCCACUGUAACUGAGACACGGUCCAGACUCCUACGGGAGGCACCAGUGGGGAAUAUUGGACAAUGGGCGCAAGCCUGAUCCAGCCAUACCGCGUGGGUGAAGAAGGCCUUCGGGUUGUAAAGCCCUUUUGUUGGGAAAGAAAAGCAGCAGGUUAAUACCCCGCUGUUCUGACGGUACCCAAGGAAUAAGCACCGGCUAACUUCGUG